UGUGAGGUAUAGACGGGGAUGCUGGAUGGCCUUUUGUUGCCUUUGAUCUUGAUCCAUCUGUCGUAAAUGCAUCUAGCAAACUUGGUUUCCCAAUCCUGUAUGGAGAUGGAUCGCGUGCUGCUGUUUUACAGUCUGCUGGUAUAUCUUCUCCAAAAGCGGUCAUGGUUAUGUAUGAAGGAAGACAGAAGGCACGUGAAGGUGUUGAAAGGAUUCGCUUUGCAUUCCCU
Helianthus annuus (common sunflower) is the source of this 227-nucleotide long non-coding RNA. RefSeq lists it as uncharacterized. The transcript is spliced from 2 exons. The record is from RefSeq and is a predicted model, not a curated record. Lineage: Eukaryota; Viridiplantae; Streptophyta; Magnoliopsida; Asterales; Asteraceae.